RNAcentral lists this ribosomal RNA (492 nucleotides) under uncultured bacterium. RNAcentral's name for it is "partial 16S ribosomal RNA". It matches the Rfam family "Bacterial small subunit ribosomal RNA", at positions 28 to 507 of the family's 1533-position model. The record is from RNAcentral.
GAUGAACGCUAGCUACAUGCCUAACACAUGCAAGUCGAGCGGAAACGACAUCGAAAGCUUGCUCUUGAUGUGCGUCGACCGGCGCACGGGUGAGUAACGCGUAUCCAACCUGCCCACCACUUGGGGAUAACCUUGCGAAACUAAGACUAAUACCCAAUGAUAUCCCUAGAAGACAUCUGAAAGAGAUUAAAGAUUUAUCGGUGAUGGAUGGGGAUGCGUCUGAUUAGCUUGUUGGCGGGGUAACGGCCUACCAAGGCAACGAUCAGUAGGGGUUCUGAGAGGAGGGUACCCUGCAUUGGAAAUGAGACCCGGACCAAAAUGGUAGGGGAGGGAGGAGUGAGGAAGAUAGUGCAAUGGAGGAGAGUCUGAACCAGCCAAGUAGGGGGCAGAAAGCCGGGGCUAUGAGUUGUCAGUUGCUUUGAAAGAGGAAUUGAGUGAGUAUCGUGGGACUUUUUGAAUGUACCUUAUGAAUAAGGAACGGCUAACUCCGUG